ACGGGAGGCAGCAGUGAGGAAUAUUGGUCAAUGGACGCAAGUCUGAACCAGCCAUGCCGCGUGCAGGAAGACGGCUCUAUGAGUUGUAAACUGCUUUUGUACGAGGGUAAACGCUCUUACGUGUAAGAGCCUGAAAGUAUCGUACGAAUAAGGAUCGGCUAACUCCGUGCCAGCAGCCGCGGUAAUACGGAGGAUCCAAGCGUUAUCCGGAUUUAUUGGGUUUAAAGGGUGCGUAGGCGGUUUGAUAAGUUAGAGGUGAAAUACCGGUGCUUAACACCGGAACUGCCUCUAAUACUGUUGAACUAGAGAGUAGUUGCGGUAGGCGGAAUGUAUGGUGUAGCGGUGAAAUGCUUAGAGAUCAUACAGAACACCGAUUGCGAAGGCAGCUUACCAAACUAUAUCUGACGUUGAGGCACGAAAGCGUGGGGAGCAAACAGGAUUAGAUACCCUGGUAGUCCACGCAGUAAACGAUGAUAACUCGCUGUCGGCGAUACACAGUCGGCG
Molecule: ribosomal RNA, 504 nt
Filed under: uncultured bacterium
Lineage: Bacteria
Description: bacterial SSU rRNA
Rfam family: Bacterial small subunit ribosomal RNA
Source: RNAcentral